GAUAACGCAAGAAAAACCAGGGAUUGUUGAUCACGAGCCACGCUGUAUAAAAGCGACCCUGGGGAUACCUGGGUAUUCAUUCAUCCACCAUGAAGGCUGCGUGUCUAAUUCUCCUCGUCUCUGUCCUGCUCAUCGGAGCAGCGUUUGUCGCUGAUGCUCAGUGUAACGGCAUUUGUCACAACGACCAUGAUUGCUCACACUGCCACGACCAUUGCCACAACGGACAUCAUUGUGUCAGACGCCCUGAUGAGGUCGCUGGCACUUGUUCAUGUCAUCAUUAGUGCUGCAUCUUGGGAAGAGGUGCUGAAUAAACGGCUACCUUGUACUAAGUGUAAAUAAAUGAUACCAAUGAGAA
RNAcentral lists this long non-coding RNA (355 nucleotides) under Haliotis rufescens (red abalone). RNAcentral's name for it is "uncharacterized LOC124111315". The record is from RNAcentral. Lineage: Eukaryota; Metazoa; Mollusca; Gastropoda; Lepetellida; Haliotidae.